CCUACGGGAGCCAGCAGUGGGGAAUAUUGGACAAUGGGGGGAACCCUGAUCCAGCCAUGCCGCGUGUGUGAAGAAGGCCCUCGGGUUGUAAAGCACUUUCAGUGAGGAAGAACGCCUGGUGGUUAAUACCCAUCAGGAAAGACAUCACUCACAGAAGAAGCACCGGCUAACUCCGUGCCAGCAGCCGCGGUAAUACGGAGGGUGCGAGCGUUAAUCGGAAUUACUGGGCGUAAAGCGCGCGUAGGUGGCUUGAUAAGCCGGUUGUGAAAGCCCCGGGCUCAACCUGGGAACGGCAUCCGGAACUGGCAAGCUAGAGUGCAGGAGAGGAAGGUAGAAUUCCCGGUGUAGCGGUGAAAUGCGUAGAGAUCGGGAGGAAUACCAGUGGCGAAGGCGGCCUUCUGGACUGACACUGACACUGAGGUGCGAAAGCGUGGGUAGCAAACAGGAUUAGAUACCCCUGUAGUC
RNAcentral lists this ribosomal RNA (465 nucleotides) under Vreelandella stevensii. RNAcentral describes it as "partial 16S ribosomal RNA". It matches the Rfam family "Bacterial small subunit ribosomal RNA", at positions 338 to 795 of the family's 1533-position model. The record is from RNAcentral. Lineage: Bacteria; Pseudomonadati; Pseudomonadota; Gammaproteobacteria; Oceanospirillales; Halomonadaceae.